CCGGGAUAGCUCAGUCGGUAGAGCAGAG
RNAcentral lists this transfer RNA (28 nucleotides) under Lobatiriccardia yakusimensis. Its description in RNAcentral is "partial transfer RNA-Phe". The record is from RNAcentral. Lineage: Eukaryota; Viridiplantae; Streptophyta; Jungermanniopsida; Metzgeriales; Aneuraceae.